This 85-nucleotide transfer RNA is filed under the name Felis catus (domestic cat). It matches the Rfam family "tRNA". Rfam says of the family: Transfer RNA (tRNA) molecules are approximately 80 nucleotides in length. Their secondary structure includes four short double-helical elements and three loops (D, anti-codon, and T loops). Further hydrogen bonds mediate the characteristic L-shaped molecular structure. tRNAs have two regions of fundamental functional importance: the anti-codon, which is responsible for specific mRNA codon recognition, and the 3' end, to which the tRNAs corresponding amino acid is attached (by aminoacyl-tRNA synthetases). tRNAs cope with the degeneracy of the genetic code in two manners: having more than one tRNA (with a specific anti-codon) for a particular amino acid; and 'wobble' base-pairing, i.e. permitting non-standard base-pairing at the 3rd anti-codon position. Lineage: Eukaryota; Metazoa; Chordata; Mammalia; Carnivora; Felidae. The record is from Rfam by way of RNAcentral.
GCCUGGGUGGCUUAGUUGGUUAAGCGUCUGACUUCGGCUCAGGUCAUGAUCUUGCAGCUUGUGGGUUCAAGCCCCAUGUCGGGCU